GAGACUCUGUGCGCGUGCAUAUCAAUAAGCGGAGGAAAAGAAACUAACAAGGAUUCCCUUAGUAACGGCGAGUGAAGCGGGAAGAGCUCAAAUUUGAAAUCUUCAAGGUUUUACCUUGACGAAUUGUAGUUUAAAGAAGCUGUUUUCUGUUGAAGUUUUGGUAAAAGUUCUUUGGAAUAGGACAUCAUAGAGGGUGAGAAUCCCGUAUUUGACCAUUAUUUUCAGCUGUGUGAUACACUUUCAAAGAGUCGGAUUGUUUGGGAAUGCAGUCCAAAAUGGGUGGUAAAUUUCAUCUAAAGCUAAAUAUUGGCGAGAGACCAAUAGCGAACAAGUACCGUGAGGGAAAGAUGAAAAGAACUUUGAAAAGAGAGUUAAACAGUACGUGAAAUUGUCAAAAGGGAAGCGUUUGACACCAGUGUUGUUUAGUUGAAAAUCAAUUCAAUAGUUUUUGAUUCUAAGUAGUAUCGACUUCAUCAGCUUGCUGCUUUCUUCUCAGAAAUUAUUGAAUGCACUUUUCAGUUAACAAGUCAACAUCAAUUUCUUUUGUUGUAAAAGGGUAAGAGGAAGGUGGCUUGCGCUUCGGCUCAAGUGUUUAUAGCCUUUUAUCUCUGCAAUCGGAGAGAUUGAGGUCUGCAGCGUAGAUCCUUCGGGGUUAGAUACAUUGGUGCUAAGCUAUAGCCUUGUAUAGACAACUUGUUGACUAUGCUCAGUCAUGUAGCUUACUCGCUGAUGCUAUUUUACCUACGCUUAGGAUGUUGAAUCUGUGCGAGACUAC
RNAcentral lists this ribosomal RNA (775 nucleotides) under uncultured Neocallimastigales. RNAcentral describes it as "partial large subunit ribosomal RNA". It matches the Rfam family "Eukaryotic large subunit ribosomal RNA", at positions 23 to 644 of the family's 3401-position model. Lineage: Eukaryota; Fungi; Neocallimastigomycota; Neocallimastigomycetes; Neocallimastigales. The record is from RNAcentral.